UACGGAGGAUCCAAGCGUUAUCCGGAUUUAUUGGGUUUAAAGGGUGCGUAGGCGGAAUAUUAAGUCAGUGGUGAAAGUUUGCAGCUCAACUGUAAAAUUGCCAUUGAAACUGAUAUUCUUGUGUGCAAAUGAGGUAAGCGGAAUGUGUUGUGUAGCGGUGAAAUGCUUAGAUAUAACACAGAACACCGAUUGCGAAGGCAGCUUACUAGAAUGCAACUGACGCUGAGGCACGAAAGCGUGGGGAUCAAAC
Molecule: ribosomal RNA, 250 nt
Filed under: uncultured bacterium
Lineage: Bacteria
Description: partial 16S ribosomal RNA
Rfam family: Bacterial small subunit ribosomal RNA
Source: RNAcentral